RNAcentral lists this small RNA (2105 nucleotides) under Cryptococcus neoformans H99. RNAcentral describes it as "Cryptococcus neoformans var. grubii H99 hypothetical RNA". The record is from RNAcentral. Lineage: Eukaryota; Fungi; Basidiomycota; Tremellomycetes; Tremellales; Cryptococcaceae.
GUUUGUUUGCUUUUAUCCUCUGCUCGCAUUCCGGCAUUGCCCUUUUCUUAGCUUGACUUGCUUGGCAUUGCUCCACUAAUAACAUGAUUGACGACUUCUACUUUCCACACUCUUUCUCCUCCUGCGAACGACCAAACUACAUAUAAUAUGCCACAGCUCUCCGUUCGUUUCCCUCUCCCAGCACAUCUGCACCAUGGAAGCGCACUUCAAAAUUCAUCCAGUGCACUGGAACAGGAACCAACCCAGGCAGCAGGAGCGGGAAGGCAUCAUGGAAGCACGGCAUCCGGCCUGGGCCCCGAACAGUUUUCGAAGGUAGCCCCUCUGAAUUCACACGUCUGUAUAUUUCUCGAUCGCCAUCGUCGCAUAUACGUAUAUACGUAUAUUUAAUCCGGCAGUCUGGGUCUGGAACAAAAACUCAAUUCUACAUUUCUACCAUACAAGCUGCAUUCAAAAUGCUUGCCAACAGAGAAAAAAUAACGUCGUGCUAUAUGAUACGUAUCCAAACAAUACACAAAAAAUGCAACAAUAAUGCUUUUACUUUAUGCUAGAUGAUUUCAAUUCUGCGGUCCUACUCGGCGAUUCCAUCAAUCAUAAGGUAAUGGCGCCUCUGUUCUUUGCCUUUUAUGAUCCCCUCCAAGAUCCCUUCGACUGUCGGAAGGAGGUCUCUUCAUCGUGGGUGGCAUACCUCCUCUACCGCCACCUCCGCCUGCCAGGCUGAAAGGUGGCGGCGGCGCAAAAGUUUUCAUUCCUCCUCCUCCUCCUCCUGCCAGCGGGAAAGGCGCUGCUGCUAAAGGCCGCCCUCCACUAUUGGUGGGAGGCGGUGGUCGAGAAGGGCGAUUGACAUUGGUGUGCAUCAUUGAUGGGGGGCCUGGUGGAAGAUAUGGUUGGUGUGAAAGAGAAUACUGUUGACCCCCGCCGCCUGUUAAACCGCCUCUUCCGUUGAAUGAUGAUUGCCCGUUAUAUGCCAUAUUGGAAGGAGGGAGAGGGACAUUAUUGUAUGCAACGGAGGCACCGUAUGGGUUUACCCCACCAUAAGCGUCUGCACCGGGUGGCAUAUUAGAUAAUCCCUGUGCUUGCAUGUACGGUUGCGGAUUGUAUCCCUGCGCAUUCGCCACUUGCGAAGACGCGUAAGGAUUCAUUGCAGGAUUGUGCCUGGUGGCGUUUGCGCUUUGUUGUUGAUAACCUUGACCAUGGCCGCGCUGCUGGUUACCAUAGCCAGACUGAUAAGCAACAUAUGGCUGUUGAGGCUGGUAGAUUUGUUGAGCGUGGUGCGCUUGCUGAGAUUGGUACGCUUGUUGAGUUUGAUAAGCCUUCUGCGGUGGUGGUUGAACUGGAGCAGCGGCGGGUUGUUUAUGCCAAGCUGACAUUUCGUGUGAAGCCGCAAAAUCAAGGUUGAUGCUGCACAUCAUAUCAGAAUUUUCGUUCUCAAAUACUUGAGGGCCAUGUGAUUGGGACUCACGUUUCUGCCGGCUUGGGAGAGACCCAGAACCAAGGAUGAUCAAGAGCCUCGCUCGCCGUUGGCCGCUUGCUCGGAUCGAGGGAUAAUAGCUUGACCAACAGAUCUGCUCCACCACGGUCCAUACUGAGAAAAGAGAGAAAUUAGCAUUUGGAAUCAGGGCAGUCUCUUUGUUCAUAAAAUCACUUACUGCCAGGAUUUGCUCUCCUCCAAAAUACUCGUAUCUCGCGGCGUCUUAUCCCACGCGAAACCAUGCGCCUCUGGGAAACCAGGUAAAUCCUGCCACCCCGACCAGGUCUCUUCGUUCAAAGGGCCGCAUUUGGCAAAGAUCAUGCUCAACUGUUCCCUAUCCCCGCCACCUGGUAAAAUCGGUCUGCGCAGGUACAUUUCUCCCAACACACAGCCGAUUGACCAAAUGUCCACCGCUGGACCGUAGUUGCAGCAUCCCAAAAGAAGUUCGGGCGCACGGUACCAUCGCGUGACUACCAUGUUAGUAUAUUCGGUCGCCAGAUGAGGUGGCAUCUUCUUGUUGUCCGUCCAUGGACGCGCGAGACCAAAAUCGGCAAUCAUGAUUUGACCGUGUUUAUCAACAAGGAUAUUGGCCGUUUUGAUAUCUCGAUGAAUAAUGUUGUUGGAGUGGAUAUAUGCC